RNAcentral lists this ribosomal RNA (612 nucleotides) under Penicillium citrinum. RNAcentral describes it as "eukaryotic LSU rRNA". It matches the Rfam family "Eukaryotic large subunit ribosomal RNA", at positions 38 to 664 of the family's 3401-position model. Lineage: Eukaryota; Fungi; Ascomycota; Eurotiomycetes; Eurotiales; Aspergillaceae. The record is from RNAcentral.
GCAUAUCAAUAAGCGGAGGAAAAGAAACCAACCGGGAUUGCCCUAGUAACGGCGAGUGAAGCGGCAAGAGCUCAAAUUUGAAAGCUGGCCCCCUCGGGGUCCGCAUUGUAAUUUGCAGAGGAUGCUUCGGGAACGGCCCCCAUCUAAGUGCCCUGGAACGGGCCGUCAUAGAGGGUGAGAAUCCCGUCUGGGAUGGGGUGGCCGCGCCCGUGUGAAGCUCCUUCGACGAGUCGAGUUGUUUGGGAAUGCAGCUCUAAUUGGGUGGUAAAUUUCAUCUAAAGCUAAAUAUUGGCCGGAGACCGAUAGCGCACAAGUAGAGUGAUCGAAAGAUGAAAAGCACUUUGAAAAGAGAGUUAAACAGCACGUGAAAUUGUUGAAAGGGAAGCGCUUGCGACCAGACUCGCCCGCGGGGUUCAGCCGGCACUCGUGCCGGUGUACUUCCCCGCGGGCGGGCCAGCGUCGGUUUGGGCGGCCGGUCAAAGGCCUCUGGAAGGUAACGCCUCUCGGGGCGUCUUAUAGCCAGGGGUGCCAUGCGGCCUGCCCGGACCGAGGAACGCGCUUCGGCUCGGACGCUGGCAUAAUGGUCGUAAGCGACCCGUCUUGAAACCACGG